This 116-nucleotide ribosomal RNA is filed under the name Fusobacterium necrogenes. Lineage: Bacteria; Fusobacteriati; Fusobacteriota; Fusobacteriia; Fusobacteriales; Fusobacteriaceae. The record is from RNAcentral.
UGGUGAGAAGAGCUACGGGGGUACACCCAGACACAUUCCGAACCUGGAAGUUAAGCCCGUAAACGCUGAAAGUACUUGGAGGGAAGCCUCCUGGAAGGAUAGGAACUUGCCAAGCA